Molecule: ribosomal RNA, 495 nt
Filed under: uncultured bacterium
Lineage: Bacteria
Description: partial 16S ribosomal RNA
Rfam family: Bacterial small subunit ribosomal RNA
Source: RNAcentral
GACGAACGCUGGCGGCGUGCCUAAUACAUGCAAGUAGAACGCUGAAGGAGGAGCUUGCUUCUCUGGAUGAGUUGCGAACGGGUGAGUAACGCGUAGGUAACCUGCCUGGUAGCGGGGGAUAACUAUUGGAAACGAUAGCUAAUACCGCAUAAGAGUAGAUGUUGCAUGACAUUUGCUUAAAAGGUGCAAUUGCAUCACUACCAGAUGGACCUGCGUUGUAUUAGCUAGUUGGUGGGGUAACGGCUCACCAAGGCGACGAUACAUAGCCGACCUGAGAGGGUGGUCGGCCACACUGGGACUGAGACACGGCCCAGACUCCUACGGGAGGCAGCAGUAGGGAAUCUUCGGCAAUGGACGGAAGUCUGACCGAGCAACGCCGCGUGAGUGAAGAAGGUUUUCGGAUCGUAAAGCUCGGUUGUAAGAGAAGAAAGAGUGUGAGAGUGGAAAGUUCACACUGUGACGGUAUCUUACCAGAAAGGGACGGCUAACUACGUG